AUAUGGUUACUUGAAAGCAGAUGUGUAAAUUGGUAUGGUACAUAUCAAUUCUUCAAGGCAGCUGCACUUUUUCAUUGAUAUUGUUGUAAAGAUUUGUAAUUUCUUGCAGAAAGUUACAUACUCAUGUAUAGUUUUUGACUUUGGAAUCAAUUUGUAUAGUAUUUCCACUCUUUGAAUAUUAUUAUGACAGUGAUUAUUAACUGAUAGCAAAUAGUAAUCAUGAACUAAUUACUUCUGUGCUAAAAACUCUUUUUUUGGCAACUGAUUUAUGUAGAAGAAUUGACUUAGAGAAGAACCUGCAAUACAUAAGUUUGGUGAUUAUUCAAUAUUUGGAAGCCUAACAUAUUCAUGUGUUAUUACUGAUUUAGAGAUCAAUGUCUAUCUAAUUUAGAUAUCAAUUUUGCAGUCUGUAUUUGGAUGAAGUGAAGCUUGCAAACUACUCAGCCUUAAUGAUGCUUUUGGUUUUUGCAGAUCAAUACUAUAUGGAUAAAUUCUCUUUGGAAGCUGGAGGUUAUUCCAAUGAUUAGAGUGAAGGUUCAGUUUAAUAACGGUUAAGUUAGGACGAAAGAGAGGUUUGCGAUUAUCAUAUUUGGUUUGUCAUCAACAAGGAGAAGGAGGGUGAGUUUUGGAGUUUUAUUGAGGAGAGCAGGACAGCUGCAGGUUAUUUGUGGUGACUAAACUUUUUUUGCCUUAUAAAUGGGGAUAGUAAGAUCAGGGGGAGCAUAUGAGAUUCUCAAUCAAUUAUCACAGAUUUCUAAAAUUUUAUUUUCGUAAUUAAAAUCAAUCAAUUAUAUAUGCCAGACUUCAUCUUAAAUUUGCUUAUAGUUGCAGUAUGGAUUUCUGUGGUUUGGUAAUGGGGAUGUAUUUGAAUGACGAAAGAGUAGCAUUUCUACUAAUAUUGAGACACUUGAACAAAAUUAAAGAAAUCACAAGUUAUUUGUGGUGACUAAACUUUUUUUGCCUUAUAAAUGGGGAUAGUAAGAUCAGGGGGAGCAUAGGAGAUUAGCA
Molecule: long non-coding RNA, 1008 nt
Organism: Rosa rugosa (rugosa rose)
Lineage: Eukaryota; Viridiplantae; Streptophyta; Magnoliopsida; Rosales; Rosaceae
Exons: 3
Source: RefSeq, a predicted model, not a curated record